RNAcentral lists this transfer RNA (72 nucleotides) under Camelus ferus (Wild Bactrian camel). It matches the Rfam family "tRNA". From Rfam's summary of the family: Transfer RNA (tRNA) molecules are approximately 80 nucleotides in length. The record is from Rfam by way of RNAcentral. Lineage: Eukaryota; Metazoa; Chordata; Mammalia; Artiodactyla; Camelidae.
UGGGGUAUAGCUCAAUGGUAGAGUGCAUGCUUAGCAUGCAUGAGGUCCUGGGUUCAAUCCCUAGUGCGCAAG